This 1165-nucleotide long non-coding RNA is filed under the name Homo sapiens (human). RNAcentral's name for it is "non-protein coding HCG14:4". The record is from RNAcentral. Lineage: Eukaryota; Metazoa; Chordata; Mammalia; Primates; Hominidae.
CUCCCAGCCUGCCCAGAUUUCAGGAAGGAAAGAAGAUCUUUUGCUUCUUCGGUCGCUGGGUCGGCUCUCCAGUGUCUGAUGUUUACUGAAAUCUUGAUCGUGGUUAGCCUCCCCCAGGACUUCAUUGUUUGGAAGAUGGUGAGGAACAAAACAAAACCCUAACAAAAGACCCCGGUUCUAUAGGAAGGUCCCCUUUUAGCCCCUCUAUUUUGGUUCCAUUUGUCACUGCCUUGCCACUCGUCGAAGUUUGUCUUGGGCUCUAAAAGUGGUAGCCGGGAACGGCUGGGAAGGUCUCCACAGGGACCACCACAUGGGCAAGGCUGGUGUCCGCGCCGAGGGAUCGGCGAUCCCAGGUCCGGGGAAACUCCGCGAGCGACGCGCUCGCCCGCGGCCUUCCUUGUCGCUCUCGGAUGUUCCCGAUUAAUGGGCUCCAAGUGACCACUGCCAGGUCGGGGAACACAGCGGUAGUUUUUAAGGGGAGUGCACCACAUCGCCUGAUCCACUUUUCUGUUUCUCAGCCUUCGCCAAGCAAUCUGAGCUCCAGGCCGGGAAGCCCCAAGGUCACAAAUUUUAAUGGAGCCCUGAAACUAAACAGAAAUCAUCCCUCCCACUAGAACAAGAGCCCCUAGAGGCCAGCGACACCGCUAAAAUAACAUGUGUAGACCAAUGCCGUCCAGGUAACAGUGCCUGGCAAACACGGUAGAGGUUCAAUAAAUACAUUUUAACUCAACCGUCUUAACUCUUGUAUUUGGGGCUGUGAGGUUCAGAUAGAGGAAAUAUAAAGUUGGAUAUUUUAAUUAGAUUUUGUCCUAAUAGCUUACUUUUUGUAUUUGUUAAUAUAAAAAAAAUUUCCUUUUUGUAAGGCAAAGUUAGGUCUCUUUUCUGCAUGGAGAAAUAACUGAGUUUCAGUAGGCUCUAUCUUAAUUUCCACAGACUUCCUUGGUUUCAUAUCCUAUUUUUGAUAGAGAGAAAAUUAGUAGUGAGAAGUACAGUGAACACUGGUUCCCCAGUCUCCCUCCAAUACAUGAGAUUUGUAUAUUUUCUUUCGAUUGGAAGGAAAUUGUCCAGGAAGUGAUUCCCAACAUGGCAACUGUAAUCUUACCCUAACUAUAAUUAUUUUUUUCUAAUUGCAAAGUACACACAAAUUGUAGAACAUACAAACAUG